GACGAACGCUGGCGGCGUGCUUAACACAUGCAAGUCGAGCGGUAAGGCCCUUUCGGGGGUACGACGAGCGGCGAACGGGUGAGUAACACGUGGGUGACCUGCCCUCCAGCUCUGGGAGUAAGCCUGGGAAACCGGGGUACUAAUAACUGGAUAUGACUCCAUGACGCAUGUUGUGGGGUGGAAAGCCUUGUGCGGCUGAGGAUGGG
Molecule: ribosomal RNA, 206 nt
Filed under: uncultured bacterium
Lineage: Bacteria
Description: partial 16S ribosomal RNA
Rfam family: Bacterial small subunit ribosomal RNA
Source: RNAcentral